RNAcentral lists this long non-coding RNA (894 nucleotides) under Sus scrofa (pig). RNAcentral's name for it is "lncRNA (ENSSSCG00035074186.1)". Lineage: Eukaryota; Metazoa; Chordata; Mammalia; Artiodactyla; Suidae. The record is from RNAcentral.
GUCAUAUCUUGCUCCCCAAUUAUUUGAGGGACAAAAGGUCAGAUUUCUUAAAUUGGAGUCUGCAGUUUCACCUUUUCCCGCCUCAGUCGUUUCCCAGGCGGGCAGGUGCUGGGACCUGCGCGGGCCACCCCGACCAGCCUGGGUCUAGACUCCCAGCUGCGGGUGCCCGGCUGCCUCCAGCUGGACGCGCUCUCCUGGAACACAGAUCUGAGCGUGUGCAUGUGCAGGUGUAUGUGAGAGAGAUCAGCCCUGUCAGCCCUCCUCGAACCCGCACUGCCCGCCUGAUGACCGCCAAGGAGGGCCAGGCCCUGCUGAGUCACGAGGCCGCUCCCCCGCUGGGCACUGAGUCAUUCUUAACGAGCCCUCUGACGGGCAAACUGCUGCCAUCAUCCAGGAUUCACCCAAGUCUGCAGGAUUUGAGAACAUUCUUCCGGGAAGGAGUCUGGAGCCUCCCCCACACGGCUGCCCACAUCAGGAGCCUCAGAUACAGAGGCCUUUUUCCUUGCCUUUGGCCUCAGCAUCCAACACUCCACUCUUCUCAUGGAAACUCCGGGGGAGCGGCAGCGGAAACUCCAUCCGAUGCUUCACUGGGAAUCGGCACUAAGUUGGGGGGGGUGGCACCGCCUUCCAGGCCAGGAUGNGGGGGGGGGGGGGGGGGGGGGGGGGGGGGGGGGACAGGCACCCUGGGGUCACAUGAAAGUCUAGUCAUGGGACUUAGAUUUUCUUUGGUUUUCCCCCAAAGGCUGCUCUUUGAACUCAGACCCCUCCAAUGGGGCUGGUCUUUUGACUGGUGUUGGGUUUUCUGAAUCCGCUUCAUUGAGCGCUCCUGGGGGACCAAGGUGGCCAGUGAGAUGCCAGGAAUUUUUUUUCCUCUAAUGUUAUUUAAAGAGAGCU